CUCAUUCCUUUUGGUUACCAUGGCAAUUUUCUCUCUCUCUUCCCUCAUUUUCUCUCAUUUUCUCUCACUUUCUCUCUGUCCCUACCAUUUGGACGAAUUUCCCUCACUUUGGAUCUCAAUCUCACCUUUCCUCUUCCUCUUGAGCUUGGUAGAUCCACCCCUUGUCCAUUUACAUCUCAUUUACAAGACAUUCCCUUCAUUUUUUCCCAUAUUUCCCUCACCGACAACCAACCACCACCCAUCGCCGUUAAACUGCUCUCCGCACAGCCAUUCCCAUCGCUGAGUUGGAGUUUUGGAGACGAGGAGGCUGCUGUCCAGCCUUGGCGCAGCUCUCUCUCCCUCCAUUCUUUCACGGUUUGGUCCCUCGUGGAGCCCAGAGGCCGUCCGCCACCAAGCCGGGGCCGUGCUAUCACCUUAGCUGCCGUCCGGCCCUCCCACGUGUGCCGUGGAGGUGAGACCAGCCGCUGUUCAGCUUUGCUGCUUCUCCC
This 488-nucleotide long non-coding RNA is filed under the name Eucalyptus grandis. RNAcentral's name for it is "long non-coding RNA (EGRA_LNC002672)". Lineage: Eukaryota; Viridiplantae; Streptophyta; Magnoliopsida; Myrtales; Myrtaceae. The record is from RNAcentral.